CAGCAGCCGCGGGAAUACGUAGGGCGCAAGCGUUGUCCGGAAUUAUUGGGCGUAAAGAGCUCGUAGGCGGUCUGUCGCGUCUGGUGUGAAAUCCCGAGGCUCAACCUCGGGCUUGCAUCGGGUACGGGCAGACUAGAGUGCGGUAGGGGAGACUGGAAUUCCUGGUGUAGCGGUGGAAUGCGCAGAUAUCAGGAGGAACACCGAUGGCGAAGGCAGGUCUCUGGGCCGCAACUGACGCUGAGGAGCGAAAGCAUGGGGAGCGAACAGGAUUAGAUACCCGAGUAGUCCUUGUCUCUUAUAC
RNAcentral lists this ribosomal RNA (301 nucleotides) under uncultured bacterium. RNAcentral describes it as "partial 16S ribosomal RNA". It matches the Rfam family "Bacterial small subunit ribosomal RNA", at positions 509 to 807 of the family's 1533-position model. The record is from RNAcentral.